This is a long non-coding RNA of Lontra canadensis (Northern American river otter), 365 nucleotides long. RefSeq lists it as uncharacterized. The transcript is spliced from 4 exons. Lineage: Eukaryota; Metazoa; Chordata; Mammalia; Carnivora; Mustelidae. The record is from RefSeq and is a predicted model, not a curated record.
GCUCUCAGAAAGGAUAAAGGUACCUUCUGGAUUCCUAUUGUCAGUGGAGAGACCACAGGAUAUUUGGACAUAAAUUAAAGAGUUGGAACCUGUUGUGGACUGAAAACCUCAAGGAAUGAUGAGGCAACGAUGGGGGUGAGAGGCAGAAGUUCUGAGUUCCAGUCCUGCCUCGGUGGAGUUUCUUCUCGCCUCACUCUGACCUCAGAUAUUUGCACUCCUAUGGCUCCACAUUUUCGCCCUUGAUGAUUUCAGCCACUCUGAGAUUUCAACUAUAAUGUCUAUAAAAUGUUAAGGAACAGUGCUGCGUAUUUAAGAACUCAUUUGCACAUACUGUAUGGAGCACUGGGUGUGGUGCAUAAACAGUG